UAGGGAAUCUUCGGCAAUGGACGGAAGUCUGACCGAGCAACGCUGCGUGAGUGAAGAAGGUUUUCGGAUCGUAAAGCUCUGUUGUAAGAGAAGAACGAGUGUGAGAGUGGAAAGUUCACACUGUGACGGUAUCUUACCAGAAAGGGACGGCUAACUACGUGCCGGCAGCCGCGGUAAUACGUAGGUCCCGAGCGUUGUCCGGAUUUAUUGGGCGUAAAGCGAGCGCAGGCGGUUAGAUAAGUCUGAAGUUAAAGGCUGUGGCUUAACCAUAGUACGCUUUGGAAACUGUUUAACUUGAGUGCAAGAGGGGAGAGUGGAAUUCCAUGUGUAGCGGUGAAAUGCGUAGAUAUAUGGAGGAACACCGGUGGCGAAAGCGGCUCUCUGGCUUGUAACUGACGCUGAGGCUCGAAAGCGUGGGGAGCAAACAGGAUUAGAUACCCUGGUAGUCCACGCCGUAAACGAUGAGUGCUAGGUGUUAGACCCUUUCCGGGGUUUAGUGCCGUAGCUAACGCAUUAAGCACUCCGCCUGGGGAGUACGACCGCAAGGUUG
RNAcentral lists this ribosomal RNA (550 nucleotides) under uncultured bacterium. RNAcentral describes it as "bacterial SSU rRNA". It matches the Rfam family "Bacterial small subunit ribosomal RNA", at positions 355 to 896 of the family's 1533-position model. The record is from RNAcentral.